This is a non-coding RNA of Cyanistes caeruleus (blue tit), 1693 nucleotides long. Lineage: Eukaryota; Metazoa; Chordata; Aves; Passeriformes; Paridae. The record is from RefSeq and is a predicted model, not a curated record.
CACUGACUGGAGAGAUGUUAACUCCUAAAACGAUGGACACGCUGAGCUAAAAAGGGAAAUUUCACACAUGGCUUUGAAAAACUGUCAGACAGAAUUAUGUGAAUAAUAUUUUCCUUACUUCUGAGAGAAAAGUACUUUUGCAUAACUAUUUCUGUGUAUGGAGAAAUGUGGAAGGAUACGAGCAGCAUCAGUAUUGCUUAUAAUCAUUAUCACUGUACUGCAUUCUGGAAACAAGGACGGUAGCUGUCACUUCACACUGCGAUCCUGAAGAUGAAUUCUAAAAUACGGCUAAUCAAAAAGAAAUAAAACAUAAUAGAACAACUCAGAAGACAAAAAAAAAAGAUGCAGGAAACGACAUACUCUCUUGACUUAUCUGCUAGCCACAUCCAGAUGUGGUCCUUCCACCUUUAACUAACACCAGCUUUGUUUCCAGAAUACAAACAAGCAAGUAGCUUAUGUCUAUGUAUUAUGAAGGGGAAAAAAGCAAGGCACUGAUUUAAAAAAAUGGCUGAACAGACCUACUGCGUCUGACAGUCGAAAAGGGUCUUUCUUUCUAACUGCUUCCAUGCAUUUAUACUAUGCCAACCAUUCUCAACCCAAUGCAUUUUAUUAUAAUAAUAAUUGUUCUUUAUUGCAGUAACAUGUAAGGAUUCCAAAUAGGGUUCAAGACCCUAUUAUUCUAGGCACCAUCCAUGUGCAUAAUAAAACCAUCUCUGCUGUAAAGAGCUUAUGAUCUUGACAUAUGACAAGGCAUAACAGUAAAAGAGAACAAACAAUUGCAGGGGAGGGGAGGAAGAGAAGCUAUCAAGAAAGCCAAUACACAGGGUGUGCUAAGUAGCAGUGUCUGACACUAACUGAUUAGCUGUUGUCAAGGGCUUUGUAUAAUCUGUAGAAAUAGUUUUUCACUGUGCCUUCUAUAUCAGUUAGUUUCCAGUUUAUAAAAUGCAAAUGUUGUCUUUACACCUCUUGAAUAAACUGCUGGGGGAAUGGGGAAAGGAAAGCUGAAAGACAGAAAUUAUAUAGGCUCUCUAAAGGAUAAGACACAAGGAUAUGGGAGCUUGUGCCAACCAUACCUGAUACCUGUGACCAAAUACAUUAAGGGAAAUUUCACAACUUCAGUCUUUAGAAAGUCUAAAGGAAAGUGGGAUCACUUUUGGUGUUAAUACUUUACCAUAUACCUUUUGCAGAUAUGGGAAAACAAUGCAUGUUUACACAAUUUGUGGGUAAAGUAUCUUAUUUUUUUCCCUUGUUUAAGAGUUUUUAAAUAGUGAACUUUGUAAUUUGGAUCACAGUAAAAAGAGACUGAAACAGCUUCUUUGACUGAAAUGCAGAAAUCGAGAUCUCAAUUUUCUCUUCCUGUUCUUGAAUUACAUGAUCAUAACACCCCUUCCCAGAACAGAAUUUAUAUAGAUUUCCUAUAAUACACAUGGGUGCUAGCAUCCUGUAAAUUUUCUGCUAGUCAAUUAUUAUGUGGGCAUAUAAAUGAGAAUGGAUUACCACAGAGAUGUGAAAGUAGAAAUAAAGAUAGCUGCAUUUUUUUUUUGGUCUCAGCAAAACCUUAAGAGAAACUGUAAAUAUUGGCAGUUCCUCAGUUUAAGCUUUUAAAUGUAAUGUUUUGGAAGUAUUAUUAUUGGCUUCUUUGAAGUGAAAAAGAAGUUGUUGAAAUUUUAUGCUGUGGAAAAAAAUAAGUGGU